GCUCGAGUGGCGAACGGGUGAGUAACACGUGAGUAACCUGCCCUUGACUUUGGGAUAGCUUCAGGAAACUGGGGCUAAUACCGGAUAGGAGCUCCUGCUGCAUGGUGGGGGUUGGAAAGUUUCGGCGGUUGGGGAUGGACUCGCGGCUUAUCAGCUUGUUGGUGGGGUAGUGGCUUACCAAGGCUUUGACGGGUAGCCGGCCUGAGAGGGUGACCGGCCACAUUGGGACUGAGAUACGGCCCAG
Molecule: ribosomal RNA, 244 nt
Filed under: uncultured Actinomycetales bacterium
Lineage: Bacteria; Bacillati; Actinomycetota; Actinomycetes; Actinomycetales
Description: partial 16S ribosomal RNA
Rfam family: Bacterial small subunit ribosomal RNA
Source: RNAcentral